This 253-nucleotide ribosomal RNA is filed under the name uncultured bacterium. RNAcentral describes it as "partial 16S ribosomal RNA". It matches the Rfam family "Bacterial small subunit ribosomal RNA", at positions 524 to 776 of the family's 1533-position model. The record is from RNAcentral.
UACGUAGGGGGCGAGCGUUGUCCGGAAUCAUUGGGCGUAAAGCGCGUGUAGGCGGCUCGAUAAGUCCGGUGUGAAACCUUGGGGCUCAACCCCAAGCCUGCACUGGAUACUGCCGAGCUAGAGUCCGGGAGGGGAGAGCGGAAUUCCUAGUGUAGCGGUGAAAUGCGCAGAUAUUAGGAAGAACACCGGUGGCGAAGGCGGCUCUCUGGAACGGUACUGACGCUGAGAAGCGAAAGCAUGGGGAGCGAACAGG